AUGGCUCAGCACUUCUCCCUGGACGCCUGCGAUGUGGUCGGAUUCUACCUGGACCACACCCUGUGUCACUACAACCUGCCCGAGAGCGCCCCACUCAUUUAUAAUAGCUUUGCCCAGUUCUUAGUUAAGGAGAAAGGGUAUGAUAAGGAAUUGCUCAAUGUGACCCCAGAGGAUUGGAAUUUCUGUUGCAAGGGUUUGGCAUUGGAUCUAGAAGAUAGGAACUUCCUUAAACUUGCUGAUAAUGGCACUGUUCUCAGGGCAAGCCAUGGCACCAAGAUGAUGACUCCAGAGGUGCUGGCAGAGACAUAUGGCAAGAAAGGGUGGAAGCAUUUCUUGUCGGACACUGGAAUGGCUUGCCGCUCAUGAAAGUAUUAUUUUUACAACUACUUUGACCUGCCGGGAGCUCUUCUAUGUGCCAGGGUGGUGGACUAUUUAACAACAAACAAUGGUCAAAAAACAUUUGAUUUUUGGAAGGAUAUAGUUGCUGCUAUACAACACAAUUAUAAAAUGUCAGCUUUUAAGGAAAACUGUGGAAUAUAUAUUCCAGAAGUAAAAAGAGAUCCAGGCAGAUAUUUACACAGUUGUCCUAAAUCUGUGAAAAAAUGGCUUCGACAGCUAAAGAAUGCUGGGAAAAUUCUUCUGUUAAUUACCAGUUCUCACAGUGAUUACUGUAGACUUCUCUGCGAAUAUAUCCUCGGGAAUGAUUUUGCAGACCUUUUUGACAUUGUGAUUACAAAUGCAUUGAAGCCUGGUUUCUUCUCCCACUUACCAAGUCAGAGACCUUUCUGGAUGCAGAGAAUGAUGAGGAGCAGGAGGCGCUGCCAUCUCUGGAUAAACCUGGCUGGUGCUCCCAAGGGAACGCUAUCCACCUCUAUGAACUUCUGAAGAAAAUCAAUGGCAAACCUGAACCCAAGGUUGUUUAUUACGGCAUGCAUUCAGAUAUUUUCCUGGCUCAUCACUAUAGUAAUUGGGAGACAGUUCUUAUCCUGGAAGAACUCAGAGGGAUGAAGGUGCAAGGAGUCAGAGGCCUGAGAAGUCAGAGCCUCUAGAGAAAAAGGAAAAUAUGAGGGACCAAAGGUAAAGCCUCUAAAUACUUCAUCUAAAAAAUGAGGCUCCUUUUUUUUUUAUUGAUUCAGUGUUGGGACUGGAAAAUACAGAAGACUCCUUGGUUUGUGCAUAGUCUUGUAAGAGAAUCAGUACUUACAGCACUAUUGUAAUUCCAAGUAUUGAAAUAAUCGCAGAAUUACCUCUGGACUACAAAUUUACAAGAUUCUCUUCAAGCAAUUCAAAAACAGCUGGGCUACUAUCCAAACCCUCCAUUGGUCUUAUCAAAUGAUGGGACACUGAUAACUAAAUAAGUUGUCUUUACUGA
RNAcentral lists this long non-coding RNA (1372 nucleotides) under Homo sapiens (human). RNAcentral's name for it is "non-protein coding lnc-CCDC160-1:1". The record is from RNAcentral. Lineage: Eukaryota; Metazoa; Chordata; Mammalia; Primates; Hominidae.